ACAUGGAUGAAACCUGAAGACAUUCUGCUAAGUGAAAUAAGUCAGUCACAAAAAACACACACUGUGUGAUUUCACUUAUAAGAGGUUGCAAGAGGAGACAA
Sapajus apella (tufted capuchin) is the source of this 101-nucleotide long non-coding RNA. RefSeq lists it as uncharacterized. The record is from RefSeq and is a predicted model, not a curated record. The transcript is spliced from 3 exons. NCBI's taxonomy places the organism in Eukaryota, Metazoa, Chordata, Mammalia, Primates, Cebidae.